ACAUUAAAAAGAUAAUAAUUUUAUUUAAUUUGAUAAUUAAUAAUUUAUUAUUUAAAUAUUAAUAUAUAAUAUAAGAAAAUUUUAGUUUAAUUAAUAUUAUAAAAAAAUUAAUUUUAUAAUAGUUAAAUUGUAUUGUGAAAGAAUUUUUUUAGUUUUUUUAAAGAAAAAUUUAAUUUUUGUACCUUGUGUAUCAGGGUUUAUUAAAAUAGAUUAAUAAACUAAUUUUCUUGAAUUUAAAAGAGCUAAUUAUUUAUAUUUUAAGUUAUAAAAUAAACUUUAUUAAUAAGUUUUUAGUAAUGAAAUGUUAUUCGUUUUUAAAUAUAUCUAGUUUUUUAAGAAAAAAAUUAAAUUUUUAUAUUAAUAAUAUUAUAAAUUUUAUUUUUAAUUUUCUAUUAUUAAUUUAUAACAUUUUUAGGGAUAAGUUUAAAAAUGGAUUUUUAUUAAUUUUUAAUAUAAUAUAGAUAAAUAGGAUUAUAAAUUUUCAUUUUUAUUAGUUUGUUAUAAUUAUUAUAAAUAAAAUUAUAUUUUAUAUAUUAAUUAUAAAUUGUUUAUUAAAAUAUUAAUUUAAAUUUUAACUAUUAAGUAAAAAUGAUAAAAUAAGUAUAAAUUUAUAAAAUAUGAUUUUUAUUAAUAAUUAAUUUUUAAAAAAGGAACUCGGCAAAUAAUUUUUCACCUGUUUAUUAAAAACAUGGCCUAUUGAAAGAAGAUUUUAGGUCUAACCUGCCCCCUGAAGUAUUUAAAUGGCCGCAGUAUUUUGACUGUGCUAAGGUAGCAUAAUAAUUAGUUUUUUAAUUGAAAGCUAGAAUGAAUGGUAUUAUGAAAAAAUUACUGUCUCUUUUAAAAAAUUAAAAUUUUAUUUUUAAGUUAAAAAGCUUAAAUAUUAUUAAAAGACGAGAAGACCCUAUAGAAUUUUAUUUAAAUUAAUUUUUAAUAAGUUAGUAUAUAAAAUUUAAAGAUAAGUUUAUAUUUAGUUGGGGUGAUUAGAAAAAUUAAGUAUCUUUUUUUCAUGUAAACAUUAAUUUAUGAUUUUAUGAUUCACAUUAGUGAUUUAAGAAUAAAUUACCUUAGGGAUAACAGCGUAAUUUUUUUUUAGAGUUCUAAUCAAAAAGAAAGAUUGCGACCUCGAUGUUGGAUUAAAAUUUAUUUUUGGUGUAGUAGCUAAAGUAUUAAGUCUGUUCGACUUUUAAAAUUUUACAUGAUCUGAGUUUAAACCGGUGUGAGCCAGGUUGGUUUCUAUCUUUAAUUUUAGUAUAUAUUUUAGUACGAAAGGACCAAAUAUAGAAUUAAGAAUUUUCAAUUAGAAUAAUAUUAUUAUUUUGGCAGAUUAGUGCAAUAGAUUUAGGGUCUUUGAAUGUAAAUAAUUUUAC
Molecule: ribosomal RNA, 1367 nt
Filed under: Plateumaris sericea
Lineage: Eukaryota; Metazoa; Arthropoda; Insecta; Coleoptera; Chrysomelidae
Description: 16S ribosomal RNA
Rfam family: Archaeal large subunit ribosomal RNA (bases 1070-1228)
Source: RNAcentral